This 607-nucleotide ribosomal RNA is filed under the name uncultured bacterium. Its description in RNAcentral is "bacterial SSU rRNA". It matches the Rfam family "Bacterial small subunit ribosomal RNA", at positions 20 to 655 of the family's 1533-position model. The record is from RNAcentral.
UGGCUCAGGACGAACGCUGGCGGCGCGCCUUACGCAUGCAAGUCGAACGGACCUUCGGGUCAGUGGCGGACGGCUGAGUAACGCGUAGGAAACCUACCCGGUGGCGGGGGAUAACCCGCCGAAAGGUGAGCUAAUACCGCAUAAGCUUCCAGGGUGAAACCCCCUGGAAGGAAAGCAGUAAUGCGCCACCGGAGGGUCCUGCGUCUUAUCAGGUAGUUGGUGGGGUAACGGCCUACCAAGCCGAUGACGGGUAGCUGGUCUGAGAGGACGACCAGCCAGAAGGGGACUGAGACACGGCCCCUACUCCUACGGGAGGCAGCAGCGAGGAAUCUUGGGCAAUGGGCGAAAGCCUGACCCAGCGACGCCGCGUGAGGGAUGAAGGCCUUCGGGUCGUAAACCUCUUUUAUGGGAGAAGAAGUUCUGACGGUAUCCCAUGAAUAAGCCACGGCUAACUACGUGCCAGCAGCCGCGGUAAUACGUAGGUGGCGAGCGUUGUCCGGAUUUACUGGGCGUGAAGGGCUUGUAGGCGGUCCGUUAAGUCCGAUGUGAAAUCUCCCGGCUCAACUGGGAGAGGUCAUUGGAUACUGGCGGACUAGAGGGGGGUAGA